AUCAUUCACAAUUUCUUUUUUCCUUGUUCAAUCUUUGAACAGGGAAAAGAAUUGGAUUCACCCAGUCUAUUGAGACGAUUCCUGGGUUAACAAAGAAUGGACCAUUUUUUAAAACAUUGAAUUGUCAAAAAAAAAUACCAAUUGAUUUUUUUGAAAAAAGAGAUUGAACCUUUCAUUAGGUGCUUUGUCUUUUUUAAACAACUUUAAGCAAUGGAUCUCUUGGCUCUCGCAUCGAUGAAGAGCGUAGCAAAUUGCGAUAAUUAGUGCGAUCUGCAUUCUGCGAAUCAUCGAGUUCUUGAACGCACCUUGCACCCUUUGGCUUGUCCUUGGGGUAUGCUUGUUUCAGUACAACUACAAACCCCCAAAUGUCAUUUCUUGAUUAAAGAAUUGACCAUUGUGAUUGGGAUGUUAAAGGUUUGAACUUGACUGUUUGAACCUUUCAUCCUGAAAAUGAAUCCAUCGGAUACAUUUCAUCAAUUGGUUUUGUUUCCUUUGCAUUAAUUUUCUUGAUUGAAAAGCAUUGGGGAUUUGGCCAAUUUAAACAUCAAACUCGUUGUCUGAAAUCAAGUAGGAUUACCCGCUGAACUUA
RNAcentral lists this ribosomal RNA (589 nucleotides) under Syncephalastrum racemosum. Its description in RNAcentral is "eukaryotic LSU rRNA". The stretch from base 200 to 351 matches the Rfam family "5.8S ribosomal RNA". The record is from RNAcentral. Lineage: Eukaryota; Fungi; Mucoromycota; Mucoromycetes; Mucorales; Syncephalastraceae.